RNAcentral lists this long non-coding RNA (701 nucleotides) under Vulpes vulpes (red fox). Its description in RNAcentral is "lncRNA (ENSVVUG00000001794.1)". Lineage: Eukaryota; Metazoa; Chordata; Mammalia; Carnivora; Canidae. The record is from RNAcentral.
CGUGACUCCCCGCCGCGCGGGCUGCCUCUGACGCCGGCCGCCGCUGCUCCCCGCUCGUCCCCUCCGUGGAGGCAGGGCCGCUCGGGCUCCUUCCGCGAGGACGCCUGUGCCUCUCUCCACCAGGGUAUCAGCCAGGGCCAGAAGACAGCAAGAUCAAAAUGGAAGCCAAUACAGCAAACAGAAGAAGAAUUCAGGAGCAUCUCUCCAGAAAUAAGGUUAAAUCAAAAGUAGAAACUUGGGGCCCUGGAAUAAUACCAGCAUACCAAGGUUAGAGGGAGCUCCAUGGAUGUACUUUUCUCCCAGCAUCCUAGAGGACCAGAGAUACUCUAGCAUUGAAAGUACAGGAGGGCCUUACCUUGUAGUCUACCUCUAGGUGAAAUCUCUAGCUUUCCAGAUGAGUCUUGUUUUAAAAUAUAUCCUAUUCUAAGUAAAACUGGAAAAUUAACUUCUAUAACUGACCCUGAAGUUUAUAACUUAAUGUGUGAGUCGCAUGAAGUUUUGUGUGUAGAACAACACAUAGUUAUUUAUAUAUCAUGAAGGCAAUUAAAGUUUUCUUUUAGAAAAUCUCUUCAUCAUCUAUGCUAAAUAUUUAUUAGAGGCAACUUCUAGUACUAUUUACAAUUCAGAUAUUUAACCUGAUUCAUGUAUUACUUGGCAGUUUACAAGCAAAGUAUCUAAUAAAAUCUAUAGUUUUCUUUGCA